This 332-nucleotide long non-coding RNA is filed under the name Androctonus crassicauda. The record is from RNAcentral. Lineage: Eukaryota; Metazoa; Arthropoda; Arachnida; Scorpiones; Buthidae.
GUAAGAUGUAAUUUAUUCAUUUAAUAUGAAAUAACACAAAAGUUAACUUUCAUUUUAUUUUUUUGAUGAAAUUGAAAAUCUAUUAUAUACUUGAUAUUAAACAUUACAAAACUGAUUUGAUCUUAGUAGUAGAGAGGGAGGAGCCUAUACAGCCCAAGCACUGCGACCAAUUUGAUCUUUGUUCUUGGGAAAUAUUAAGAAAUCAUACAAAUAGUUUUGAGACAAUCCCAGAUUUAGCAUUAAUAUUUCAUUAUGCAGCUAAAAAUUUCAAACUGUUAUAAAAUAUGGAUUGAGGUAAACUCAUUAAAAUUUCAAACAGUUUUUGUGACAAU